CCAGACUCCUACGGGAGGCAGCAGUGGGGAAUAUUGGGCAAUGGGCGCAAGCCUGACCCAGCAAUGCCGCGUGAAGGAAGAAGGCCUUCGGGUUGUAAACUUCUUUUAUCAGGGACGAAGGAUGUGACGGUACCUGAUGAAUAAGCUCCGGCUAACUACGUGCCAGCAGCCGCGGUAAUACGUAGGGAGCAAGCGUUAUCCGGAUUUACUGGGUGUAAAGGGCGCGUAGGCGGGAUGGCAAGUCAGAUGUGAAAUCCAAGGGCUCAACCCUUGAACUGCAUUUGAAACUGUCGUUCUUGAGUACUGGAGAGGUUGACGGAAUUCCUAGUGUAGCGGUGAAAUGCAUAGAUAUCACGCAGAACUCCGAUUGCGAAGGCAGCAUACCGGCGCCCAACUGACGCUGAAGCACGAAAGCGUGGGUAUCGAACAGGAUUAGAUACCCUUGUA
This 447-nucleotide ribosomal RNA is filed under the name uncultured bacterium. Its description in RNAcentral is "bacterial SSU rRNA". It matches the Rfam family "Bacterial small subunit ribosomal RNA", at positions 331 to 792 of the family's 1533-position model. The record is from RNAcentral.